CCGCUGACGACCGGCGCACGGGUGCGUAACGCGUAUGCAACCUACCUUCUACAGGGGGAUAGUCAAUAGAAAUGUUGAAUAAUACCCCAUACGAUCUUUGAAUAGCAUUAUUUAAAGAAGAAAGCUCCGGCGGUAGAAGAUGGGCAUGCGUCCUAUUAGUUAGUUGGUAAGGUAACGGCUUACCAAGACUUCGAUAGGUAGGGGUCCUGAGAGGGAGACCCCCCACACUGGUACUGAGACACGGACCAGACUCCUACGGGAGGCAGCAGUGAGGAAUAUUGGACAAUGGAGGCAACUCUGAUCCAGCCAUGCCGCGUGCAGGAAGACUGCCCUAUGGGUUGUAAACUGCUUUUAUACAGGAAGAAAUAUACCUACGUGUAGGUAUUUGACGGUACUGUACGAAUAAGGAUCGGCUAACUCCGUGCCAGCAGCCGCGGUAAUACGGAGGAUCCAAGCGUUAUCCGGAAUCAUUGGGUUUAAAGGGUCCGUAGGCGGUCUUUUAAGUCAGAGGUGAAAUCCUACAGCUCAACUGUAGAAUUGCCUUUGAUACCGAAAGACUUGAGUUAUUGUGAAGUAGUUAGAAUGUGUGGUGUAGCGGUGAAAUGCAUAGAGAUCACACAGAAUACCGAUUGCGAAGGCAGAUUACUAACAAUAUACUGACGCUGAGGGACGAAAGCGUGGGUAGCGAACAGGAUU
This 696-nucleotide ribosomal RNA is filed under the name uncultured bacterium. RNAcentral describes it as "bacterial SSU rRNA". It matches the Rfam family "Bacterial small subunit ribosomal RNA", at positions 85 to 779 of the family's 1533-position model. The record is from RNAcentral.